RNAcentral lists this ribosomal RNA (253 nucleotides) under uncultured bacterium. RNAcentral's name for it is "partial 16S ribosomal RNA". It matches the Rfam family "Bacterial small subunit ribosomal RNA", at positions 524 to 776 of the family's 1533-position model. The record is from RNAcentral.
UACGUAGGGGGCUAGCGUUGUCCGGAAUCAUUGGGCGUAAAGAGCGUGUAGGCGGCCCGGUAAGUCCGCUGUGAAAGUCGGGGGCUCAACCCUCGAAAGCCGGUGGAUACUGUCGGGCUAGAGUGCGGAAGAGGCGAGUGGAAUUCCUGGUGCAGCGGUGAAAUGCGCAGAUAUCAGGAGGAACACCGAUUGCGAAGGCAGCUCGCUGGGACGUAACUGACGCUGAGACGCGAAAGCGUGGGGAGCAAACAGG